GAUGAACGCUAGCUACAGGCUUAACACAUGCAAGUCGAGGGGAAACGACAUCGAAAGCUUGCUUUUGAUGGGCGUCGACCGGCGCACGGGUGAGUAACGCGUAUCCAGCCUGCCCAUCACUUGGGGAUAACCUUGCGAAAGUAAGACUAAUACCCAAUGAUAUCUCUAGAAGACAUCUGAAAGAGAUUAAAGAUUUAUCGGUGAUGGAUGGGGAUGCGUCUGAUUAGCUUGUUGGCGGGGUAACGGCCCACCAAGGCAACGAUCAGUAGGGGUUCUGAGAGGAAGGUCCCCCACAUUGGAACUGAGACACGGUCCAAACUCCUACGGGAGGCAGCAGUGAGGAAUAUUGGUCAAUGGGCGAGAGCCUGAACCAGCCAAGUAGCGUGCAGGAAGACGGCCCUAUGGGUGGUAAACUGCUUUUAUAAGGGAAUAAAGUGAGAGUCGUGACUCUUUUUGUAUGUACCUUAUGAAUAAGGACCGGCUAAUUCCGUG
Molecule: ribosomal RNA, 492 nt
Filed under: uncultured bacterium
Lineage: Bacteria
Description: partial 16S ribosomal RNA
Rfam family: Bacterial small subunit ribosomal RNA
Source: RNAcentral